CGCGGGGUAGAGCAGUUGGUAGCUCGUCGGGCUCAUAACCCGAAGGUCGUAGGUUCAAGUCCUGCCCCCGCUACAA
Molecule: transfer RNA, 76 nt
Filed under: bacterium
Lineage: Bacteria
Also listed under: 1 other name
Description: tRNA-Met
Rfam family: tRNA
About the family: Transfer RNA (tRNA) molecules are approximately 80 nucleotides in length. Their secondary structure includes four short double-helical elements and three loops (D, anti-codon, and T loops).
Source: RNAcentral